AGAAUUCGGCUUCACUAUCAAAG
RNAcentral lists this non-coding RNA (23 nucleotides) under Arabidopsis thaliana (thale cress). The record is from RNAcentral. Lineage: Eukaryota; Viridiplantae; Streptophyta; Magnoliopsida; Brassicales; Brassicaceae.